This 266-nucleotide ribosomal RNA is filed under the name uncultured Streptococcus sp. RNAcentral describes it as "partial 16S ribosomal RNA". It matches the Rfam family "Bacterial small subunit ribosomal RNA", at positions 1118 to 1382 of the family's 1533-position model. The record is from RNAcentral. Lineage: Bacteria; Bacillati; Bacillota; Bacilli; Lactobacillales; Streptococcaceae.
GCCAUCAUUCAGUUGGGCGACUCUAGCGAGACUGCCGGUAAUAAACCGGAGGAAGGUGGGGAGUGACGUCAAAUCAUCAUGCCCCUUAUGACCUGGGCUACACACGUGCUACAAUGGUUGGUACAACGAGUUGCGAGUCGGUGACGGCGAGCUAAUCUCUUAAAGCCAAUCUCAGUUCGGAUUGUAGGCUGCAACUCGCCUACAUGAAGUCGGAAUCGCUAGUAAUCGCGGAUCAGCACGCCGCGGUGAAUACGUUCCCGGGCCUU